CUGCCUUAAACUAAUGAGUAAGGAAAACAAAGCAAGCGGUGAGAGCUGCUUGCCGCGCCUAUCUCUAUGAUGCGCAAGAAUUUAUGGAGGGGUUAAGGGCUGGCCGAGCGUUGACGCUGCUUACUUUUGCAGAACUCGCUUGUGCGGGCCUCCCAAACCC
This is a small nuclear RNA of Vitis vinifera (wine grape), 160 nucleotides long. It matches the Rfam family "U12 minor spliceosomal RNA". Rfam says of the family: Although the U12 sequence is very divergent from that of U2, the two are functionally analogous. Lineage: Eukaryota; Viridiplantae; Streptophyta; Magnoliopsida; Vitales; Vitaceae. The record is from Rfam.